UGGGGAAUUUUGGACAAUGGGGGAAACCCUGAUCCAGCCAUCCCGCGUGUGCGAUGAAGGCCUUCGGGUUGUAAAGCACUUUUGGCAGGAAAGAAACGUCAUGGGUUAAUACCCCGUGAAACUGACGGUACCUGCAGAAUAAGCACCGGCUAACUACGUGCCAGCAGCCGCGGUAAUACGUAGGGUGCAAGCGUUAAUCGGAAUUACUGGGCGUAAAGCGUGCGCAGGCGGUUCGGAAAGAAAGAUGUGAAAUCCCAGAGCUCAACUUUGGAACUGCAUUUUUAACUACCGGGCUAGAGUGUGUCAGAGGGGGGGGGAAUUCCGCGUGUAGCAGUGAAAUGCGUAGCUAUGCGGAGGAACACCGAUGGCGAAGGCAGCCUCCUGGGAUAACACUGACGAUCAUGCACGAAGGCGUGGGGGGCAAACGGG
This 429-nucleotide ribosomal RNA is filed under the name Acidobacteriota bacterium. Its description in RNAcentral is "Acidobacteria bacterium partial 16S ribosomal RNA". It matches the Rfam family "Bacterial small subunit ribosomal RNA", at positions 355 to 776 of the family's 1533-position model. The record is from RNAcentral. Lineage: Bacteria; Pseudomonadati; Acidobacteriota.